RNAcentral lists this ribosomal RNA (429 nucleotides) under uncultured prokaryote. Its description in RNAcentral is "bacterial SSU rRNA". It matches the Rfam family "Bacterial small subunit ribosomal RNA", at positions 355 to 776 of the family's 1533-position model. The record is from RNAcentral. RNAcentral also lists the same sequence under 1 other name.
UGGGGAAUUUUGGACAAUGGGGGCAACCCUGAUCCAGCCAUGCCGCGUGAGUGAAGAAGGCCUUCGGGUUGUAAAGCUCUUUCGGCCGGGAAGAAAACGCAUCUUCUAAUACAAGGUGUGGAUGACGGUACCGGACUAAGAAGCACCGGCUAACUACGUGCCAGCAGCCGCGGUAAUACGUAGGGUGCGAGCGUUAAUCGGAAUUACUGGGCGUAAAGCGUGCGCAGGCGGUUUUUUAAGACAGGCGUGAAAUCCCCGGGCUUAACCUGGGAACUGCGCUUGUGACUGGAAGGCUAGAGUACGGCAGAGGGGGGUGGAAUUCCACGUGUAGCAGUGAAAUGCGUAGAGAUGUGGAGGAACACCGAUGGCGAAGGCAGCCCCCUGGGCCGAUACUGACGCUCAUGCACGAAAGCGUGGGGAGCAAACAGG